UGGGAUUAGAUACCCCACUAUGUAUAGCCUUAAACUUUGAUAGUAGUAAUACGUACACCUAUCCGCCCGGGUACUACGAGCGUUAGCUUAAAACCCAAAGGACUUGGCGGUGCCUCAGACCCCCCUAGAGGAGCCUGUUCUAGAACCGAUACUCCCCGUUUAACCUCACCACCUCUUGUCCCCACUGCCUAUAUACCGCCGCCGUCAGCUUACCCUGUGAAGGUAAAAUAGUAAGCACAAUUGGCAUAGCCUAAAACGUCAGGUCGAGGUGUAGCGCAUGAGGUGGAAGAAAUGGGCUACAUUCCCUGACCUAGGGUAUACGGAAGGGGGAUUGAAACAUCCCCCCAAAGGAGGAUUUAGCAGUAAGCUGGGAAAUAGAGUGUCCCGCUGAAGCCGGCUCUGAGGCGCGCACACACCGCCCGUCACCCUCUGCA
This 434-nucleotide ribosomal RNA is filed under the name Regalecus glesne (king of herrings). RNAcentral describes it as "partial 12S ribosomal RNA". It matches the Rfam family "Bacterial small subunit ribosomal RNA", at positions 773 to 1408 of the family's 1533-position model. The record is from RNAcentral. Lineage: Eukaryota; Metazoa; Chordata; Actinopteri; Lampriformes; Regalecidae.